This 222-nucleotide long non-coding RNA is filed under the name Oryza sativa aus subgroup. RNAcentral describes it as "lncRNA OsNaBo_05g0012080". The record is from RNAcentral. Lineage: Eukaryota; Viridiplantae; Streptophyta; Magnoliopsida; Poales; Poaceae.
AACAUAUGGGUGCAAAGUUCACAGUCGCACACCAUUAAAUUGAGUCUCAGAAAACUUCAGUCAGUACUAAAGAAGGAUGAACCAUUGGACCAUGAUUGCUUCAACAUGUCUAUACACUACUUCAGCAAAGCCAUGCUUGUGGCAUGUCCUGGUUUAAGCUGUACCGAGGACAUCAACUUGUGGCGUAAAAUAAUUGUUUCAAAUCCAGUUGUAGACACAUAA